Molecule: long non-coding RNA, 1863 nt
Filed under: Manihot esculenta (cassava)
Lineage: Eukaryota; Viridiplantae; Streptophyta; Magnoliopsida; Malpighiales; Euphorbiaceae
Description: long non-coding RNA (MESC_LNC004398)
Source: RNAcentral
CCCUCUCCACCAUACUUUCCUCUCUUUCUUAAUUUUUCCCAUGCAUUCUCAAAAUUUUCUGCAUUUCAAGCUUGAGCUUUGUGUUUUUUUUAAACAAUUCAUGACAUAUAUUUUCAGCUUCUUAUACUCAAAUAACACAAAACAAUUUGCAUCAAAUUUCUAUUGUGGAGCUGACAUCAACUGAAUUCAUUCAUAUAUAUUAUAUUAUUAUGCCACCAUGCCACAUCAGCAACAUAUCAUCAAAUGGUGUUGAUGUCAACAUGCCACAUUGGUGCUACUUUAAUGCUAUUAACACUUUGUUCUUAUGAUGCUAUCAAUGCAAAAGAAAAUGUCAUUAUUUGCAACAAGUCAAAGUACAGGUAUUAAAUGCUAAAAUUGUUAUAGUACAAUUCAUGACAUAUAUUUUCAGCUUAUUAUACACAGAGAACACAACAAUUUGCAUCAAAUUUUUAAUGAAGAGCUAACAUCUACUCGACUUCGUUCAUAUAUAUUAUGCCACAUGCCACAUCAAUACCAUGUCAUCAAAUGGUGUUGAUGUCAACAUGCCACAUUGGUGCUACUUUAACGCUAUUAACACUUUGUCCUUACAAUGCUAUCAAUGCAAAAGUAAAUGUCAUUAUUUGCAACGAGUCAAAGUACAGGUAUUAAAUUGCUAAAAACGUUAUAGCACAGGAUACCAAAGUAUCCUUUUCCCUACUUUAUUAAAUAUUUCAUUAAAUAUUUUCAAUAGAUUUCUGCACUUAUGAAACAAGAAUAGCUUGUACAUUUAAGUAGAUGUCCAAUAAAGAAUAUUGAUGUGUGUGUGCGGAUAGAUGAGAUGGCAGUAAUAUGGCAGGAAAAGCCACACCUUUAGUUGGGAAGUUGAGUUGUUGAGAAGCUACCAACUAGUAGCUAAAUAAGUUAAGAAGCAGUUACUGAGUACAUUAUAUAUCUCAUAGACUCUCUCAUAUCCUCAUUCCAGAUUCUAUAAAGAAAUAAUAUUUUCUAUCUCCUCUCUAUCUUCUACUCUUACCUUUUCUUCCUAAAUCUCUUCUGUUGCUUCCUCUAAUACUCCGUGUCCGACACAUAUUCAUUUACUCGGACGCUUGAGUGAUACAUUCAUGCAUAGUUAAUAGAUAGUUCUUUCUUUCUCUAAAGAUGAAAAGCAUGUAUUUAUAUAAAAAAAGUUAUUUGGUUGCAUUUUGGAUGAUGUACUUGGUUAUAUUUGAUUAUUUAUUUAGACUAUAAUUAUCACUAUAUAACUUUAUAUAUUUUUUAUUAUAGUUUAUUUUAUAUAAUAUAAAUGUAUCCAAGCACCCGUAUCUAAACUUAGAUCCAUAUUCUCGUAUUUUCUAUUUAGAAAGUUCACAAGUCAGACAUAGGGAUAUGCAUCCAUUUUUGACACUCAUAUCUUAGUCCAAAUAACAUAGGUUGCUUCUAUAGAUCCUUUGUUUGCUAACAUAAACAUAGCUCAAGAAUGACAAAUCAUUUGAAGGAUAACCUUAACAAUUAUAACAGUGCCACAGAUGAACCUGGUUUGGGUGCACAAAACUAGGAAAGCACGUCUUAACAUUGGACCAUGUGCAUCCUUACUCUCUCUCAAUUUCCCCUUGUCCCACCUCCCUCCUUUUCAAGUCCCCAACUUAAACACAAAAUACUAUCUCUGUUGUUCGCACAACAAAAUUAAAGUCCAAUUCAGUCCUUUGUUAUAUAUAUCAUCUGCUCACCCUCUAAAAUUCUCUAUCCUUCAUGUCUAUCCAACCUAUGCUACAUCAUCACACCUUAUCUUUCUCAUUAUUUUUCAACUUGUUAACAUGCGAGUUUUAAAAGGUUGUAAUUCUUUAACACAGGAUCCUGCUCAAUAUAGAGUUCACUUAAAUGACC